This 496-nucleotide ribosomal RNA is filed under the name uncultured bacterium. Its description in RNAcentral is "partial 16S ribosomal RNA". It matches the Rfam family "Bacterial small subunit ribosomal RNA", at positions 28 to 507 of the family's 1533-position model. The record is from RNAcentral.
GAUGAACGCUGGCGGCGUGCCUAAUACAUGCCAGUCGAGCGAACGGACGAGAAGCUUGCUUCUCUGAUGUUAGCGGCGGACGGGUGAGUAACACGUGGAUAACCUACCUAUAAGACUGGGAUAACUUCGGGAAACCGGAGCUAAUACCGGAUGAUAUUUUGAACCGCAUGGUUCAAAAGUGAAAGACGGUCUUGCUGUCACUUAUAGAUGGAUCCGCGCUGCAUUAGCUAGUUGGUAAGGUAACGGCUUACCAAGGCAACGAUGCAUAGCCGACCUGAGAGGGUGAUCGGCCACACUGGAACUGAGACACGGUCCAGACUCCUACGGAGGCAGCAGUAGGGAAUCUUCCGCAAUGGGCGAAAGCCUGACGGAGCAACGCCGCGUGAGUGAUGAAGGUCUUCGGAUCGUAAAACUCUGUUAUUAGGGAAGAACAUAUGUGUAAGUAACUGUGCACAUCUUGACGGUACCUAAUCAGAAAGCCACGGCUAACUACGUG